This 302-nucleotide ribosomal RNA is filed under the name uncultured Fusobacteriaceae bacterium. RNAcentral describes it as "partial 16S ribosomal RNA". The record is from RNAcentral. Lineage: Bacteria; Fusobacteriati; Fusobacteriota; Fusobacteriia; Fusobacteriales; Fusobacteriaceae.
GGAGUAAGGGCCGUGUCUCAGUCCCCUUGUGGCCGUUCACCCUCUCAGGCCGGCUACCCAUCAUCGUCUUGGUGAGCCGUUACCUCACCAACUAACUAAUGGGACGCAAAGCUCUCUCACAGCGCAUAUAGCUUUCAUAACCAAAUCAUGCGACUCAGUCAUAAUAUCCGGUAUUAGCAUUCGUUUCCAAAUGUUGUCCCAGUCUGUAAGGCAAGUUCUUUACGCGUUACUCACCCGUCCGCCACCUUCACCCGAAGGAUCAAGUAGACUUGCAUGUGUUAAGCAUUCUGUCAGCGUUCAUC